RNAcentral lists this ribosomal RNA (435 nucleotides) under Clostridioides difficile. Its description in RNAcentral is "bacterial LSU rRNA". It matches the Rfam family "Bacterial large subunit ribosomal RNA", at positions 1135 to 1575 of the family's 2925-position model. The record is from RNAcentral. Lineage: Bacteria; Bacillati; Bacillota; Clostridia; Peptostreptococcales; Peptostreptococcaceae.
UAAUAGCUCACCGGUCGAGUGAUCCCGCGCCGAUGUUCUCCGGGGCUUAAACUUACUACCGAAGCUACGGCAUCAGUAAUGAUGCGGAGGGGAGCUUCCCAUAGGCUUCGAUGCAUGAUCGUAAGGACCUGUGGACAGUAUGGGAGUGAGAAUGUUGGCAUGAGUAGCGCGCUGUGGGUGAGAAUCCCACAGGCCGUAAACCCACGGUUUCCAGGGGAAGGUUCGUCCGCCCUGGGUUAGUCGGGACCUAAGCUGAGGCCGACAGGCGGGGGUGAUGGACAACAGGUAGAUAUUCCUGUACUACAGAUAACGAUAUGAGAGAAGGGAUGAUACAGUAGGCUAAGCUACGCACACUGUUGGUUAUGUGGGCCAAAGCAUUGAGGCAGUCAAAGUAGGCAAAGCCGCUUUGAUAAUGCUGGGAGGUGAUGGGGGGGG